Molecule: non-coding RNA, 103 nt
Organism: Kiritimatiella glycovorans
Lineage: Bacteria; Pseudomonadati; Kiritimatiellota; Kiritimatiellia; Kiritimatiellales; Kiritimatiellaceae
Source: Rfam
UGAGGUCGGAGAGAUCCGGCCUGACCGACGUGCAGGAGUCAGCAGAAGGCAAAGUAGGCGGGCCGUCAGGCAAAGCUAGUGAGGCACCCCAAGGGCGAAAGCC